UCCCUUCUUUUCUUUGCUUAUCCAAUAUUACUCACAUUUUGAGGCCUGUAACAAAUCCCCCCUCUUUCGUGACAUCUUUCACAGGUUCUCAGUGCUCCAGGUGCAAUUCUCGCUGCCACCAAUUAAUCGUGUGAUUCAUGGUGACCUUGAGGGAAACAACCUUCCUCAUUAAUCUUGGGAUCCCUGGUAUUUGUCAUAUGGCCCAGCAUGUAGGAAAGGAAGCUAAUUUUCGGCUCUCUGGUGUCUUGGAUCACCCUGAGGAAGAAACUAGAAGAGAAGUUGUAGAGGAUGGUAGUCACAGCAAAUAUCUCUCCUGGAAGAGGACCUGCAAACUGUGAUGGUGGGUGUUCGUCAGGAUCCUAGGGAGGAACAGGACUAAUAGGAUAUAUGUAUAUAUUCAAGGGAGUUUAUUAAGGAGAACUGACUUAUGUGAUCACAAGGUAAGGUCCCACAAUAGGCUGUCUACAAGCUGAAGAGCAAGGAAGCCUGUGGUGGAUUGGUCUGAAUCCCAACACUUCAAAAGUAGGGAAGCCAACAGUGCAGCCUUCAGUCUGUGGCCAAAGGCCGAACAGCUCUUGGCAAACCCCUGGUGUAAGUCCAAGAUUCCAAAAGCUGAAGAACUUGGAGUCUGGUGUUCGAGGGCAGGAAGCAUCCAGCAUGGGAGAAAGAUUACGGCCAGAAGACUCAGCAGGUCUGCUCUUCCGUCUUCUCCUGCCUGCUUUAUUCCAGCCUGGCUGGCAGCUGAUUAGAUGAUGUCUACCCAGAUGGAGGGUGGGUCUGCUGCUCGCAGUCCACUGACUCAAAUGUUAAUCUGCAUGGCAGCAUCCUCACGGGCACACCCAGGAACAAUACUUCAAAUCCUUCAGUCCAAUCAAGUUGACACUCAGUAUUAACCAUCACAGUGGGGGAGGGGCCACAGCUGCAAAACCUGCCGCGGAGAUCUACCAGCUCCUGAAGCUCCUGGUCACAGCCAGCAGAAGGCAUUUAGGGGUCAACUGAACACUGCCUCUAGAUCUGCCAGCAGCAGGACUUUGGCAUGCUUUUUUGUGAUAGUAAAAUUUUUGCUGUAAUUGAAACUGCUAUAGAAAAAGCAGGCCUUGGGACUCAAUUGUGCUGCAAUGAAAGAUCAUAAUUUUAAAAAACUCAAGUCUAAUAGAAACGAAGUAGGAGUGUAGGAUCUCACAAAAGCUCUAAUUUUGCAUAUAAAUAAGAUAGCAAAGCAGUUCUCUACAAAAAUACUUUCAUGCUAAUAAAAGAGAUUGUUUUACAAGGCAAAGAUUGCCAGUGACACAUUAAAAAUGAAGAAAUUAAAAAAUUUAUCAUAUGUCCAUUUUAUAGUUUCCAGGAUAGAGCCUAGAACCAUUCCUGACAGAAAGCAGGC
RNAcentral lists this long non-coding RNA (1381 nucleotides) under Callithrix jacchus (white-tufted-ear marmoset). Its description in RNAcentral is "lncRNA (ENSCJAG00000080954.1)". The record is from RNAcentral. Lineage: Eukaryota; Metazoa; Chordata; Mammalia; Primates; Cebidae.